UACGGAGGAUGCGAGCGUUAUCCGGAUUUAUUGGGUUUAAAGGGUGCGUAGGCGGGAUGCCAAGUCAGCGGUAAAAAUGCGGUGCUCAACGCCGUCGAGCCGUUGAAACUGGCGUUCUUGAGUGGGCGAGAAGUAUGCGGAAUGCGUGGUGUAGCGGUGAAAUGCAUAGAUAUCACGCAGAACUCCGAUUGCGAAGGCAGCAUACCGGCAUCCAACUGACGCUGAGGCACGAAAGCGUGGGGAUCAAACAGG
RNAcentral lists this ribosomal RNA (252 nucleotides) under uncultured bacterium. RNAcentral describes it as "partial 16S ribosomal RNA". It matches the Rfam family "Bacterial small subunit ribosomal RNA", at positions 524 to 776 of the family's 1533-position model. The record is from RNAcentral.